RNAcentral lists this ribosomal RNA (501 nucleotides) under uncultured bacterium. RNAcentral describes it as "bacterial SSU rRNA". It matches the Rfam family "Bacterial small subunit ribosomal RNA", at positions 37 to 518 of the family's 1533-position model. The record is from RNAcentral.
GUGGCGGCGUGCCUAACACAUGCAAGUCGAACGGAGUUUACUCGCUGAUGAAGCUUCGGCAGAAUCUUGAGUAAACUUAGUAGGCGGACGGGUGAGUAACGCGUGGGCAACCUGCCUCAUACUGGGGGAUAGCAGUUGGAAACGACUGAUAAUAUCGCAUAAGCGCACAGCAUCGCAUGAUGCAGUGUGAAAAAACUCCGGUGGUAUGAGAUGGGCCCGCGUCAGAUUAGCUAGUUGGUAAGGUAACGGCUUACCAAGGCGACGAUCUGUAGCCGGACUGAGAGGUCGGACGGCCACAUUGGGACUGAGACACGGCCCAAACUCCUACGGGAGGCAGCAGUGGGGGAUAUUGCACAAUGGAGGAAACUCUGAUGCAGCGACGCCGCGUGAAGUGAAGAAGUAUUUCGGUAUGUAAAGCUCUAUCAGCAGGGAAGAAAGGCUCGUAAGAGAGAUGACGGUACCUGACUAAGAAGCCCCGGCUAACUACGUGCCAGCAGCAGC